UGGAGAGUUGGCAUCUGUCGUCACUGACUCAUGGUGAUUGCAAGGCAGGAGAUUUAAAAUAAAUGAAUUGAUGCAGAUUUAAUUAUAAUCAGUACUUACUUCUGGAAUGCUGUACAGAUUUCAUUAAUUUUUAGGUUUAAAGAAACUUAUUUUCAUUGUGUACACUACUAUUUUACUAUUUUUGUGCUGCACAGAGAAGAUGAAUUUAAUCUUGAUUGGAAGCAUUAAUCAGUAACAAAGGAAUUUCAUCUUGACUGGAAGCAUUAAUCAGUAACAGAGGCCAGAGUAUUUUCAGCGGGCUGACAUUUAGAAUUUUUCCGUGUUCCAGUUUGCCAGAGAAUUUGCUCAAGGUUUUCAAGCUAUUUCCCUGAUUUGUUCUUCAGCUGCUGCAAAGACUUGAAAUUGGUCAACAGUAAAAUCUUUUUUUUUUCAAAUUUUCUUAAAAAGGGCUUUUAAUUUGCUUUAGUUUCAUGUUAUUUUUUUUCAAUAUUUUCUGAACUACUGAUUUUUGGAUUAGGUUCUCUCAAGCCAUUGAAUGCAAAGGUACAGAAAGAUCUGAAGUAGGAGAAAAUAUCAGAAGCAAAAGUAAUUAGAAAUUUGAAUAUAGAAGCCGACAACAAUCAACAACUCAAUGCUGCAACAAUUGAAUAGAUUACAAUCCCAUUUGCAUACAUAUAGUGUUUUAGUUUUUGUAAACAUUAAACUUUUCCAGCUGAACUGCUACACUUGAAAAUUUGUUUCAAAUACAAAAAUAUUUCACAUAAUAAUUUCGAUACCUCUUUCAUGACUGUUGCAUGUUUCAAUUGCUGAGUCUAGAAGAGUGGGAAAUAGUUCACUGAUAUUGCUAAAAAAUUUAGCCAAUUUACUGUCUUUAAUGAUAUUUUAACCUUCAAUGACUUAAUUUCUGCAAUGUAGUCUAACUUAGAAUGAUCUUAUGUUUCUUUUUCUGUUUGCUCAUCUGGAGUGUAUGAUUUCUACAGUUCGUUGCUCUCUGUCAAAUGGGUAUUAUUUAUCUUCAACCGAGCUAAGAUAUAAUUGUAUCUAGAUGAAUUGUGUGCACUAUUUUUUAAAAGUUAGAUGCAAUAUAUUCGCUCUAGUUUUUUACUUUUUUUUCACAUUCUGAAUUUUUAAAAGUCCCUUAUAUCAGUAUAAUGCUUAUGAGGAUCAAAUAAACCCAAUUCUCUACUAUUUGGUUUCAAAAUGUGGCAUAAAGGAUGUGUGAUAGAGCUAACUGGUUAAAUUUACGUAUUAUGAUAGGAGUACAAAUUGACAAACCUUGUGAAACUUUAACUAAUUGAAAUCUAUAAAAGAAAUCUAUCAUGGUUCAUAUUUCCUGCAUAUUGGUACUCAGUAUGAACUUUUGUUACCAAGUUGAUGUAUUUUCAAGGAAGCAAUGAGACUGAAAAGAGUAUAUAUAUAGUUUGAUAUCAGAUCCACUGGACUUAUGGGGCUUGGGUGCAUUGUAGAUAUAAUU
Long non-coding RNA from Cryptomeria japonica (Japanese cedar), 1474 nucleotides. RefSeq lists it as uncharacterized. The record is from RefSeq and is a predicted model, not a curated record. Lineage: Eukaryota; Viridiplantae; Streptophyta; Pinopsida; Cupressales; Cupressaceae. The transcript is spliced from 3 exons.